CUUGAGGGACAGACACGGAUGUACAAAGACAAAAAUAUGAACAAAUAUUUGAGUAAUUUAUUUGGACCUGGAAGUAUGGCGGUUUCCACUCCUAGACCUAAGAGAAUGGACAGUCUGGCUGUCAAUCACUGCAGGCCCUCCAAGCUGACGUCUGAAGGCGGGGCCAUUGAAGGAUGGCAAGCACCCGGCAAUGAAGCCCUACCACGUGAGCAGGCCGAUGACGGUUUGGAUUGUGCAAUGAGGCUUCCGUAGACCGCUCCCCUCAGUGAUGACAAAAUAUGGCGGGUACUGUGGAUAUAUGGCGGGUACUGUGGAUAUAUGGCGGUUGACAAUGCUCCGAUCUCACAAGUGCUGCAUGAUUGGGUCCUCUGGCCCCACCAACCACUUUGAGAAAUUGCUCUGGAUGAGGGAAAGAGGAAGUUUGCCCCAUCCACUCGUGUUGUGAGUUUCCAAGUGGCCUAAUUUUCCUGCAGUGGUCCCAAGCUGACCUUCCACAGGUAAGUCUCUUUGUAGAUUUGUACAAUCAUCACCUCCCUCAGGAUCUGUGAUGGGAACGUCCAGUUCUGGUCAGCCGGUGGGCCCGUAAUGAGAGGAGAGGACCCUGAACCAAUCGUCAAGGCCAGCCAUACAGAUGUCGCCGAGACCGUGUCACCCAUCGUGUUUCGUUCACAAUAAGUUUCCAGUAUGUGAGUCUGAAAGACCCUCGGCCCUUUCUUCCUGUCAUCUCUGAGCCUCAGCUUCCACAUCUGCAAAAUGGAAAUGACACCUUGCUCUUGCUCUCAGGCGUGGUGUGAAAAUCAAGCGUGAUCAUCUUUAUGAAGUGCUCAGCACACAGGAGGGCCAGCAACUAUUCUCAGAGGGUCUUGGGCAUCUCUUUGGAAAUGGACCUCUUUAACUCUGCUGUGAUGCCAGGAGGUAGCCCAGCAUCCCAGACCCUGCCUUUCUCUGAGCUGCAUUCUUUCCUGGCUGCCUUGGACGUCUGACAUUGAAGCUGAUGUCACUCAGCGUCAAGUUGGGGCUGGAGGGUGCCUGGUAACUGGCAGUGCCCAAAGGUCUCCUCUCUUUCCUUCUCUGUAUAAAGUUACUUCUUUUCUGGGCAGUGGUUAAUUUGGGGAAAAUCAGGUGAAGACUUUGACGGUUGGGUGUGAGAGUGUUAAGCAUAAAGACGAAUGGCUCUAAGGUGCAUUCAAAGACCCUUGUGACCUCUAGUGUCAGACACACCUCUGGUUCCUCUGUUGCUUUGUUCGCACCAGUUCUAUCCAGAAGGUGGCAUCACAGAGCCUGAUGUGCACUCCCCAAAGUCCAAACGAUCCACAUUUCUUUGUGGUUAGACACUAACGUAUGUAGCCUUUACACAGCAUGUUGACAUUUCAAAGACUUUUCAUUUAUCCCUGUACUUGGUUCAGUUACUUUCAAGCCGUGGGAGAUGGGGGUCAUUACAACUUCCUACCCAGUGAAAACCUGAGACGUGAGGUACUUACAAAACUCUGUGCCCCAACGCAUGUUCCUUCCCCAGGCGGUAGGUACAAAAGUGAACAAGAAUGGCUUGUCUGCUUGUCAAAAGCAGUUGUACAACUUAAUAACCGUGAUGCCUCCUCCUUCUUCCACACACACUUGUGCCCACUGCCCAUCAAAGUCAUGUUGGGUCAUUUCAUUGGGGGGAGGGAUGGGGAAGACGUAGAUGAAUGUUUUGUGGGUAAGACUUCUGAGUACUGGCACUUAACAAAAUAAGACCCAAGGUUGAAGCUUCCAAAAGGGUGACUGUUUAAUUGGUGGCAUCUCAAACGCAGGACCCUGAGGGAAAGACAAGGUGACCCUCCCAAUUUAAGGUGGGGUCUGGCUUGGUGGCUCUUUCCCAGGAGUCCACUCUGGAGCCUGCCACAUCAGUUGCGUUAUGAGGCCUGUACUCCGUGAAUGUGUACUUCCCAGCGGGGAUGUUAAUGAGUUAUGAAUUCUUGGUGUGAGGUAUUUCAUGUCAAACCCUGUUAGCCUGAAGUGGAUUUUCAUUCCUCUUAUGGAUGUGGGUGACAGAAGGGGAAUGGAUAUCGAACACCUGAAGGUAAGGCCUUUGCACUUGUGCUGCCGAAGGAGCACGAGGUAAGGCCUUUGAAAUAGAGUGUGUUCGUUGCUACACUGGUUCCCUGUUAUAGGCGCACUUUUCCACGGAUGAAUAUUAUUUCAUUGGAUACAUGUACCACAUAUUCUUUAUCCAUUUAUGCUGUUGAUGGAUGCUCACAAGUCUCUCAUGUCUUACAUAUUGAGAAUAAUACUGUAGUGAGUAUAUGGGAUGAGUAUGUGUCUUUGACAUAGUGGCUUCCUUUCCUUUAUAUCAAUGCCCAGAUACGGGAUUGAUACAUCAUAUAGGAGCUCAAUUAUUAAUUUUUUGAGAGGCCAUCCUACUGUUCUCCGUAGUGCUACCUAAUGUAGUGCUGUCAGGUGGUCAGACUCCCUAUACAAAGAAUCUGAAAGAGUACGUCUACCAUGCAGAGCGAUGGCCUACUAGGAUUCACUGGGAAUCCUCAUGUUGUGUAUGGGAAUGUGGUUGGAAUUGUAUCCAUGCGUUUCCAUCUAAACUUCCUGCACUCUUCCAGUGAUCAUACCUUGCCCGUGGCAAGAAGACGAGCGGUGUGUGGGUGCUGUCAAUGAACCUUCCAUGAGGCAGGGGACGUUUAGAUUGUCACGGACAUGAGCUGAUGAGCUGGAUGUCCGGGAGCCUCCUGGGUCAGGUGUCCAGGGUGGAGGAUUAAUCCUUCCGCCUUUGUUUCUAUACAUCAUUUCAGGCCCUUCAUUUCUCGCGAUUAGUGAAACCUAGGGUCCAGAAGGGAUAUAUGAGUAAACUCUGGGAGUGUAAUGAAACUUGAAAGGGGGUGGGUAGAGUGUCUUCGUGUGAAAGUGUGGUAGGCAUUGUGGGUUCAGGGGCAAUGGCAGCAUCUGGCGACUGGGCAGAUAUUAGUUCCCAGGGAAGAAAUGGGUCCUGUCUGGUUCUCUGGCCUCCAAUGCAAAGAAACUAAGAGUAUGUCUACCAUGGAGAUCAAUGGCCUCCUAGGAAUCGUUAGGAAUCCUCAUUUUGUGGAUGGGAAUGUGGUUGGAAUCGUAUCCAAGCGUUUCCAUCUAAGCUUUCUGCACUCUUCUGCUGACCAUACUCUGCACAUGGCGGGAAGAUGAGCGGCGUGUGGGUGCUGUCAAUGAACCUUCCAUGAGGCAGGGGACGUUUAGAUUGUCACGGACAUGAGCUGAUGAGCUGGAUGUCCGGGAGCCUCCGGGGUCAGGUGUCCAGGGUGGAGGAUUAAUCCUUCCGCCUUUGUUUCUAUACAUCAUUUCAGGCCCUUCAUUUCUCGCGAUUAGUGAAACCUAGGGUCCAGAAGGGAUAUAUGAGUAAACUCUGGGAGUGUAAUGAAACUUGAAAGGGGGUGGGUAGAGUGUCUUCGUGUGAAAGUGUGGUAGGCAUUGUGGGUUCAGGGGUGUGUCCCCUGCCUUUCUCCCUUCUCAUGCACUACCCUGGGGUCAGCAUAACUGGGGGCGAGGAGACAACGGACAUUGGUGGAUGUGACAUGAGAAACUAUGCCAGUCUUGUUGAGUUGACACGUUCAUUAGGAGAAGAGGGUGUUGUUUUCCACGUUCCACGUGGAGUGUGGGUUUGCCAGCAGGCACGGCUCUGCUGUUUCAUCCUUACUCUGUGGUACCACGGGCCUGUGAAGGAAGGCCACGGGGUAGGGUGGGUCGUCCUUCCCCCUGCUGUCUUGUUGCAGGUGACAAUAACCUGAGGCCUUUCUGAGAAGGAACUGCUGUUGCUUAUGCCUCUUUUAUCCUCCAGGGACAUCUUCUUCCAUUGUCCCGGAUCUGUGUUGGCUCUUGGGCACUGCUUGUGGUGUUUGCUUCCCCCUCCCUGUGUCAGGAGGCUGGGUUUUAAAACUGGCAAGAGGCUUGUUUAGCUUUUCAAAAGGUUUGCGAAGAGGCAGAGAGCACACAAUGAUAUGUUUUCCAAAGUCCAUGUUCCCAGAGAAGGGAACGGGGAGGUCGUGUCCUCCUUUCAAUGGAGAUAGUUUAGCUCUUUUUUCUUAUUUUCUUUGCCCCUAUGCCAUGCCCCCAUGAGAGACCAGGCCCCCUUGCUACCCACAGUCCCACCCCGACUGGUGAGUCCCGAGGACUGGCCAAAGUUAGGCCUGUGCAUAGAGCUUCCUCUAGAGCAUCUGUGCCAAGAGUACCUUCACCUGAAGGUUAAGAUGCAUGAGUAGUGGCUUGUACUCUGGCCUGCUUCUGUUCCUGCCCGUGCCUGUGCCCUCAGGGGCUUCUCUGUGAUCCAGAGAGUCAACUGCAAUGAUCAAGGAAAGUACAAACCUUGUUAAGAGAGGAUUUCAGUCACUAUGCUGGUGUCAUUGGUCCGCUGGAAGUUGAGCUGUACUGUCCCUCUCGCGGCCUCUCUUUCUUGAGUGUCCUGGAGGAGCUGAGGUGUGAUCUGUCUUUCUUGUGGCACACAGGACCUGACAGAAUACUUGGUAGGAGGGGAGGACUCGGAGCCUGUGUGAUGGAUACUUAGUGCACAGGCCUCUCGAAAUGGGCGGGAGGAACGUGCAAAACGUGUGCACUCCUGGACAGUUUACGUGGUGGCAUCUAGGCCCGUCUGCAUUUGAGCUUACCCCCCCAUCCAUUGUGCCCACUCAAGGAGCAGCAUAUAUGGAUUGGACCCCUGCCAAGCAGACCACCUGCCGGGUGAGAUUAGGGUUGGCCUUCUGAGCUUGCCUGGUCUCUUCUCAUUCAUAUGCAGACCCACUGUAAGGCUUCUUUCCAGCUUCGGAAAAGAAUAUCAGUGGGAUGAGGUCAGUGACUCUGGAGGAGACUCACUGACUGCCUCAGUCUCCCCCAUCAGUCAGACACAGCGGCCUCACAGAAUGCCGAAAGGCCUGGUGUAGAUGCCACUCUACCCUCCGGGUAGAUGACGGGUUGUGCCGUUGGGGUGCCGACCCGUAGGAUGUGGUAUAUGGUUAAAGCCGCAAGGAGACACCAGGAGUUCUCCUCCAGAGCUCAGAGUAAAUGCAUACGGAAACAGUUGCCCUCUUAGGGUAGGUCUUCUGCCUUUGGUUGUCUUCUUAUUACAAAGAAAAAUACUGAUUAGUGAGGGUGAAAUGUAACAUUGGAGGGGGCAGUUACGCUUAUGAUAUAAUUGAUGGUGAUGGUUGAUACAUGGAUGUAUACUGAUCCCUCAACUCAUUAGGUUGUAUACAUUAACUAUGUACAGCUUAUCGUAUGUCACUCGUACGUCUCCAUACCUCAGUAAAGUGGUUGAAGAAAUAAUAAAAAAAGAGCCUCCCAUGAGUACAGAUGAGUGUUCCCCUCAAAUGGUUUUAGAUCUUCAAACUGAAGGGGAAGGAAGUGUCUAUACAGGGAAAAGGGAGAUUACUGCUCCUUCCUUAUUGUUUUGCCUUGCUUGUUCCCUUUAUAUGUCGCAUUUGCAUUGGCGAUGUACAAGGGUGACCUUUAUUGUCCAUAGGAUUUUAAAUUUCGUUGACUUGCAGCAGUGCUACAGAAGCCAUGAACUUCCCCUGGAGGAUUUGGACUCAAGGAGUGGCCCCGUGACAUCAGCAAUUCGUCAUAUGACAAGACAUGGACACUGGGUUAAUGUGAUUUUGGUAUUGGCGUGCGUUUGGUAUGUUGUCAUUGUUUACAAUUUGUGUUUUUGUGCUUGUGCAAGUAAUCUUGCAAACUAUUUUGCAUAUGAUAACAUGUCAAACCAUGUAUGUACAGUGUAUUUUUCUCCUACGGGGUGGAGGGCCGUAGUUUCAGGCUGAUUGGUCUUUCCAGUCGGCACAUUUUCUCUGAGCGUGUCCCAAACCCUUCUGUCUACUGUAUGACCCAGUUCACUUGCCACAGGUACUUGCUUUGAUGCUUUUCACCUAUCAUAGUUGAGCCAAUGAUACUUUUGUUGUAUUUAGAGUUUGGGACUAGACCCCAAGAAUGUGUGAUAUCGUGGGGGCGCCUCCCUGGCUCAGUCAGUAGAGCAUGUGACUGUGGAUCUUGGGGUUGUUAAGUUCGAGCCCCACAUUGGGUGUGGGGAUUACUUCAAAAAAAAAUUAUUACAGGGGCACCCGGGUCACUCAGUCUGUUGAGCGUCCAAGUCUUGAUCUGAGGUCAAUUCUUGAUCUCAGGGUCUUGAUCUCAGGGUUGUGAGUUCACGCCUCAUUUUGGCCUCCACUCUGGGCAUGAAGCUUAAAUUAAAUAAAUAAGUAAACAAAUAUCGUUAUAGAAAAAGAAUGAGUGAUAUCUUUUUUUUUUAAUUUUUUUAAUGUUUAUUUAUUUAUUUUUGAGACCGAGAGAGAUACAGCAUGAACGGGGGAGGGUCAGAGAGAGAGAGGGAGACACAGAAUCAGAAGCAGGCUCCAGGCUCUGAGCUGUCAGCCUAGAGCUCGACGCGGGGCUCGAACUCACGGACUGUGAGAUCAUGACCGGAGCCGAAGUCAGACGCUUAACCGACUGAGCCACCCAGGCACCCCACGAAUGAGUGAUAUCUUGAAAAGGCUAGUUAAUAUCCUUUCACUGCAAGCAAUAUCAUUGAGAAGACAUACUGUUGAGUUUCCCUGAGCUAUGCUCACUUCCGUCUUUAAAAUGUAUUUCUUGCUUAAGUAUCUUGCAUUUUGUAAAAUACUUGUGUUCUUCCAAUAAAAUUUAUGUGCUUCAGAAAA
Molecule: long non-coding RNA, 6677 nt
Organism: Neofelis nebulosa (Clouded leopard)
Lineage: Eukaryota; Metazoa; Chordata; Mammalia; Carnivora; Felidae
Exons: 4
Source: RefSeq, a predicted model, not a curated record